Molecule: long non-coding RNA, 2439 nt
Filed under: Triticum aestivum (bread wheat)
Lineage: Eukaryota; Viridiplantae; Streptophyta; Magnoliopsida; Poales; Poaceae
Description: long non-coding RNA (TAES_LNC007320)
Source: RNAcentral
UGAGUGUUUCUUCCUAUAGUUUACAUGAGAAUAAAAUAAUCCAUGACAAAAAACCUGAGAACAAUAGGGUUUUAGCUCACUGAAAUUGUAGAUUACACAUGCAUGUAUUAUCUCUUAUGCACCAACAAAAUAGCAUAUUAAUAUAUAUGAGCAUGUACAAAUUGAUUAUUCAGGUGUUGAGUAGGAAGCAUACACCCAAUAAGGAUUGAUAACUUGAUCGAGGAAGAAACUUCAUUUCCUUAAUAGCAUUUGGCAGAUCAAGCUAUAGAAUAAAAUAAUAAAGUACCACCAGGCUGAUCUCUAAUUUUCACUCAGCUAACACAAACGCAUUUUACACUGUCGGACGAAUUGGUGAUGCGUUGUACAAGUCGUACUUCGGCUCGAACCUUCUCGGGACAGGUCAGAGGCAUCUAAGAAAUAAGAGAAAAUUAGGAAAAAAAUAAGAUGGUGAUUUGGUUAAUUUGAAGGAACUGUAAUUUGCAGGGAAGGGCAACAACUUUGCAACUCGGUGCUCACCCUCACUAUCAGCCGUCAGGUAGAAACAAUUUGUGCGCGCGCCGGGGGUCCUCUUAUUCCCAAUUCAUCUGCUCCCUGUGCCACAUCCGCCGCAUCCACAAGCUAUAGAUCUUUGGAGGAGCAGACCACUACUGCUUCUAUGCUGAAGGUAUUACAACAGGUAAAACAGCAUCCUGAACCAGAUUUUAUAAAGAAAAGUAACCUGCAACAGAAGUAGGUAUUUACUCUAUGCAAAAAAAAUACUAUGGUACAAUACAUGAUAAUGCCUAGUCGAACUGAUGCAUCUGUUAGCUACAAAUGGUAGUAGGAUAGUACUAAAAGGACUAACUAUUCAAUUCUAGUCUCUAGAGAACAAAAUCACAUUGCUCCUAUUUUCUUAAAAUGAUAAACCAGUACUAAAGAGCUGAUAUUCCAAAUCUGAGUGCUCACCAAUUAAAUGAGAAUCCUAAGCAGAAAAAUGGGAGUGCAGGGAGGUCGCCAUUUAAGUGAAAUAGGUAAAAUCAGCCUUAACAAUGAUGAAAAGAAAUUAUGUCUGGAAAGGGUAUUUUCAGGAGUUAAUUGAUCAUUAUAUGGGUGCAGACCAAACAAAUAUACUAUAUUCAGCAAAGACAAAUUAUAUAGAGAAACAUGGUUAAUUGAUCAUUAUAUGGGUGCAAAUUAUAUAGUAUAUAAAUCAAUCAUAUUGCCAUUGCUAACUCAAUAGAGAAAUGAAGUAAAUAUAGUAUAUUCAGCAAAGACAAACUAUAUGGGUGCAGUCCAAAAAAAAUGUAUGCGUUAGUCUACUCAUUGAUGAUUAAACAACUAAUAUACUCUAAAGGACAAUUUUUGUCAUCACUUCCAAUGAAGAAACACUCCUGAUACUCAUCUGGCUGGCCGGACUCGGUAUCUCAGUGGUUCUUACCAUCAUUCUUCCUUUCUUUCUUCUCUACCUGUAGUUUUCCUUCACAGCUGCACCCGGGCACAAAAUGAGCAUAGAGACACAGAAUGGAAAAUAGUUUUCUGUAAUGUGUGACGACCUAUUAUUAAAACCGCAACCAAGUUAACAAUUAUACACACACCACACCAAUAACAUCAAAUAAAAAGGUCGGCCUGAGCAUAUAGUUCAAAAUGAUUACUGAUAUUUAGAUACAAAUGGUUGAAAAAAAAUAUGCAUGGAGAAGGUUACCUUAAAUUUACGUCGGCAAAAAAUUCAAGCUCUCCUGCUUUGGGCACUCAAUGCUUGCUUUAUUGCAAAAGAAUUCUUUCUUUCUUGCAUCAAUCUGUGUUGAAGUGAAACACUCGCUAAAGUAGCAGCCUAGUCUAGUCAUAAAGAUAAGGAACUACUUUAAAAUGAAUCAGAUUGUGCACAUUCAAUAACAAGAAUGACUAUCUUCAUUAACAGUCAUAUUCAACAUACCCUUAAGUUGACUAAAAUAGACUUGUUGUAAUUUACAGAAAAGAAAAUACAUGAGAUAAGUCACCUGCCUCAUCUAUCAUUUAGGAGAGGGUUAGUAUAUGAAGAAAGAUGCAACUACAUGAUAGAAAAUUACAUCUUUGAAAUUCUGUAGAGGUAGACAAAUGAAAAUAGACCAACAGAACACAUACGACCUGAUUAACAUAAUCAGGGAGAACACAAAAGUACACUUAAGAGGCCUCGCUUCAGCAACGGCAAGCAACAAGCACGUAUGUCCAUCACAUGUAAAGGGGAGACGGAAACUACCUUAUUUGAGGACUAAAUUAUCAGACUGGUGUAGCUGCGAUACAUGCCACAACUAAACAAAUCAACAUGAAUUUUGUCUGUGCAGAUCUCAUAGGGCAGUAAUCAACUGGAGCAAAACCAAGAACAAAAGGAAACAAGGAGAGGGUUCCUACAGAUUAUGCCAUAUACAAAUAUACAUCAUUGCAGUGCUUGCCUCAAAGCUCCUUCAUUGGGAAAUCAAUGGC